This 492-nucleotide ribosomal RNA is filed under the name uncultured bacterium. RNAcentral's name for it is "partial 16S ribosomal RNA". It matches the Rfam family "Bacterial small subunit ribosomal RNA", at positions 29 to 507 of the family's 1533-position model. The record is from RNAcentral.
AGUGAACGCUGGCGGUAGGCCUAACACAUGCCAGUCGAACGGCAGCACAGUAAGAGCUUGCUCUUACGGGUGGCGAGUGGCGGACGGGUGAGGAAUACAUCGGAAUCUACUUUUUCGUGGGGGUUAACGAGGGAAAACUACCGCUAUACCCCAAUCCACCCUCCGGGUGAAAGCAGGGAACCUUCGACCCUUCCCGAAUUAAUUAGCCGGAUGUCGGAUUAGCUAGUUGGCGGGGUAAAGGCCCACCAAGGCGACGAUCCGUAGCUGGUCUGAGAGGAUGAUCAGCCACACUGGAACUGAGACACGGUCCAGACUCCUACGGGAGGCAGCAGUGGGGAAUAUUGGACAAUGGGCGCAAGCCUGAUCCAGCCAUACCGCGUGGGUGAAGAAGGCCUUCGGGUUGUAAAGCCCUUUUGUUGGGAAAGAAAAGCAGCAGGUUAAUACCCCGCUGUUCUGACGGUACCCAAAGAAUAAGCACCGGCUAACUUCGUG